RNAcentral lists this ribosomal RNA (253 nucleotides) under uncultured bacterium. RNAcentral's name for it is "partial 16S ribosomal RNA". It matches the Rfam family "Bacterial small subunit ribosomal RNA", at positions 524 to 776 of the family's 1533-position model. The record is from RNAcentral.
UACAGAGGUGGCAAGCGUUGUUCGGAAUCACUGGGCAUAAAGGGCGCGUAGGCGGCGAGGCAAGUCGGGUGUGAAAUCCCUCAGCUCAACUGAGGAACUGCGCCCGAAACUACCUUGCUAGAGUGCAGGAGAGGAGAGUGGAACUCCUAGUGGAGCGGUGAAAUGCGUAGAGAUUAGGAGGAACGCCGGUGGCGAAAGCGACUCUCUGGCCUGUAACUGACGCUGAGGCGCGAAAGCGUGGGGAGCGAACAGG